GUUGUAUGGUUAAGUGACUAAGCGUACACGGUGGAUGCCUUGGCAGUCAGAGGCGAUGAAAGACGUAGUAACUUGCGAUAAGCCCAGAUUAGGUAGUAACAACCAUUUGAGUCUGGGAUUUCUGAAUGGGGAAACCCACGUGCAUAAGCACGUAUCCUUACCUGAAUACAUAGGGUAAGGAGGCGAACCGGGGGAACUGAAACAUCUAAGUACCCCGAGGAAAAGAAAUCAACCGAGAUUCCGAAAGUAGCGGCGAGCGAAAUUGGACUAGCCCUUAAGCUUUACACGCGUUAGAGGAACGGUCUGGAAAGUCCGACGAUACAGGGUGAUAGUCCCGUAGUUGACGACGUGUGUUCAGUGAAAUCGAGUAGGGCGGGACACGUGAUAUCCUGUCUGAAUAUGGGGGGACCAUCCUCCAAGGCUAAAUACUACUGACUGACCGAUAGUGAACCAGUACCGUGAGGGAAAGGCGAAAAGAACCCCUGUGAGGGGAGUGAAAUAGAACCUGAAACCGUGUACGUACAAGCAGUAGGAGCAGGCUUUGUCCUGUGACUGCGUACCUUUUGUAUAAUGGGUCAGCGACUUAUAUUCAGUGGCAAGGUUAACCAUCUAGGGGAGCCGUAGGGAAACCGAGUCUUAACUGGGCGUUCAGUCUCUGGAUAUAGACCCGAAACCAGGUGAUCUAGCCAUGGGCAGGUUGAAGGUUGAGUAACAUCAACUGGAGGACCGAACCGACUAAUGUUGAAAAAUUAGCGGAUGACUUGUGGCUAGGGGUGAAAGGCCAAUCAAACCUGGAGAUAGCUGGUUCUCCCCGAAAGCUAUUUAGGUAGCGCCUCGGACGAAUACUACUGGGGGUAGAGCACUGUUAAGGCUAGGGGGUCAUCCCGACUUACCAACCCUUUGCAAACUCCGAAUACCAGUAAGUACUAUCCGGGAGACACACGGCGGGUGCUAACGUCCGUCGUGGAGAGGGAAACAACCCAGACCGCCAGCUAAGGUCCCAAAUUACUACUAAGUGGGAAACGAUGUGGGAAGGCUCAGACAGCCAGGAUGUUGGCUUAGAAGCAGCCAUCAUUUAAAGAAAGCGUAAUAGCUCACUGGUCGAGUCGGCCUGCGCGGAAGAUGUAACGGGGCUAAGUAGUAAACCGAAGCUGCGGCAAUGUGCUUUUGCACAUUGGGUAGGGGAGCGUUCUGUAAGCGGUUGAAGGUGUGUGGUAACGCAUGCUGGACGUAUCAGAAGUGCGAAUGCUGACAUGAGUAACGAUAAAGGGGGUGAAAAACCUCCUCGCCGGAAGACCAAGGGUUCCUGUCCAACGUUAAUCGGGGCAGGGUAAGUCGACCCCUAAGGCGAGGCCGAAAGGCGUAGUCGAUGGGAAACGGGUUAAUAUUCCCGUACUUCUUACAAUUGCGAUGGGGGGACGGAGAAGGCUAGGUGGGCCUGGCGACGGUUGUCCAGGUUCAAGUGCGUAGGCUUAAGAGUUAGGUAAAUCCGGCUCUUUUUAAGGCUGAGACACGACGUCGAGCACCUACGGGUGUGAAGUCAUUGAUGCCAUGCUUCCAGGAAAAGCCUCUAAGCUUCAGAUUGUAAGGAAUCGUACCCCAAACCGACACAGGUGGUCGGGUAGAGAAUACCAAGGCGCUUGAGAGAACUCGGGUGAAGGAACUAGGCAAAAUGGUACCGUAACUUCGGGAGAAGGUACGCUCUUGAUGGUGAAGUCCCUUGCGGAUGGAGCUGACGAGAGUCGCAGAUACCAGGUGGCUGCAACUGUUUAUUAAAAACACAGCACUGUGCAAAAUCGUAAGAUGACGUAUACGGUGUGACGCCUGCCCGGUGCCGGAAGGUUAAUUGAUGGGGUUAGACUUCGGUCGAAGCUCUUGAUCGAAGCCCCGGUAAACGGCGGCCGUAACUAUAACGGUCCUAAGGUAGCGAAAUUCCUUGUCGGGUAAGUUCCGACCUGCACGAAUGGCGUAAUGAUGGCCACGCUGUCUCCACCCGAGACUCAGUGAAAUUGAAAUCGCUGUGAAGAUGCAGUGUACCCGCGGCUAGACGGAAAGACCCCGUGAACCUUUACUACAGCUUGGCACUGAACAUUGACCCUACAUGUGUAGGAUAGGUGGGAGGCUUUGAAGCACGUACGCCAGUAUGUGUGGAGCCGUCCUUGAAAUACCACCCUUGUAGUGUUGAUGUUCUAACGUCGACCCCUAAUCGGGGUUGCGGACAGUGCCUGGUGGGUAGUUUGACUGGGGCGGUCUCCUCCCAAAGAGUAACGGAGGAGCACGAAGGUGGGCUAAUCACGGUUGGACAUCGUGAGGUUAGUGCAAUGGCAUAAGCCCGCUUGACUGCGAGAAUGACAAUUCGAGCAGGUGCGAAAGCAGGUCAUAGUGAUCCGGUGGUUCUGAAUGGAAGGGCCAUCGCUCAACGGAUAAAAGGUACUCCGGGGAUAACAGGCUGAUACCGCCCAAGAGUUCAUAUCGACGGCGGUGUUUGGCACCUCGAUGUCGGCUCAUCACAUCCUGGGGCUGAAGUCGGUCCCAAGGGUAUGGCUGUUCGCCAUUUAAAGUGGUACGCGAGCUGGGUUUAGAACGUCGUGAGACAGUUCGGUCCCUAUCUGCCGUGGGCGUUGGAAGAUUGAAGGGGGCUGCUCCUAGUACGAGAGGACCGGAGUGGACGAACCUCUGGUGUUCGGGUUGUGUCGCCAGACGCAUUGCCCGGUAGCUAAGUUCGGAAUCGAUAACCGCUGAAAGCAUCUAAGCGGGAAGCGAGCCCUGAGAUGAGUCUUCCCUGAUACUUUAAGUAUCCUAAAGGGUUGUCGGAGACUACGACGUUGAUAGGUCAGGUGUGUAAGUGCUGUGAGGCAUUGAGCUAACUGAUACUAAUUGCCCGUGAGGCUUAACCAUACAACACCCAAGGGGUUU
This 2916-nucleotide ribosomal RNA is filed under the name Vibrio parahaemolyticus. Its description in RNAcentral is "bacterial LSU rRNA". It matches the Rfam family "Bacterial large subunit ribosomal RNA". Lineage: Bacteria; Pseudomonadati; Pseudomonadota; Gammaproteobacteria; Vibrionales; Vibrionaceae. The record is from RNAcentral.